UACGGAGGGUGCAAGCGUUAUCCGGAAUCACUGGGUUUAAAGGGUACGUAGGCUGUUUGAUAAGUCAGAUGUGAAAUGUCGGAGCUUAACUUCGGAUCUGCAUUUGAUACUGUCAGACUUGAAUUGGGUGGAGGUGCACGGAAUGCAUCAUGUAGCGGUGAAAUGCUUAGAUAUGAUGUAGAACACCAAUAGCGAAGGCAGUGCACCACGCCUUGAUUGACGCUGAGGUACGAAAGCGUGGGGAGCGAACAGG
RNAcentral lists this ribosomal RNA (253 nucleotides) under uncultured bacterium. RNAcentral describes it as "partial 16S ribosomal RNA". It matches the Rfam family "Bacterial small subunit ribosomal RNA", at positions 524 to 776 of the family's 1533-position model. The record is from RNAcentral.